This 253-nucleotide ribosomal RNA is filed under the name uncultured bacterium. RNAcentral's name for it is "partial 16S ribosomal RNA". It matches the Rfam family "Bacterial small subunit ribosomal RNA", at positions 524 to 776 of the family's 1533-position model. The record is from RNAcentral.
UACAGAGGUCCCAAGCGUUGUUCGGAUUCAUUGGGCGUAAAGGGUGUGUAGGUGGCGCCGUAAGUCGGGUGUGAAAUCUCGGGGCUUAACUCCGAAACUGCAUUCGAUACUGCGGUGCUUGAGGACUGGAGAGGAGACUGGAAUUCAUGGUGUAGCAGUGAAAUGCGUAGAUAUCGAGAGGAACACCUGCGGCGAAGGCGGGUUGCUGGGCUGACACUGACGCUGAUGCGCGAAAGCCAGGGGAGCGAGCGGG